AUGUCCCAAAUGAAUGUAGCUUCAUAAAUACGAGUAAACAGCAUCAGCAGCAAGAGCAUCGGCUACACCAGCAACAACAGGUGCAGCAGCUACAACAAGAGCAACAGUUA
Anoplophora glabripennis (Asian longhorned beetle) is the source of this 110-nucleotide long non-coding RNA. RefSeq lists it as uncharacterized. NCBI's taxonomy places the organism in Eukaryota, Metazoa, Arthropoda, Insecta, Coleoptera, Cerambycidae. The transcript is spliced from 2 exons. The record is from RefSeq and is a predicted model, not a curated record.